Molecule: ribosomal RNA, 253 nt
Filed under: uncultured bacterium
Lineage: Bacteria
Description: partial 16S ribosomal RNA
Rfam family: Bacterial small subunit ribosomal RNA
Source: RNAcentral
UACGGGGGGGGUAAGCGUUGUUCGGAAUUACUGGGCGUAAAGGGUUCGUAGGUGGCCAACUAAGUCAGACGUGAAAUCCCUCAGCUCAACUGGGGAACUGCGUCUGAUACUGGUUGGCUUGAGUGCAGGAGAGGAACGCGGAAUUCCAGGUGUAGCGGUGAAAUGCGUAGAUAUCUGGAGGAACACCGGUGGCGAAGGCGGCGUUCUGGACUGCAACUGACACUGAGGAACGAAAGCCAGGGGAGCAAACGGG